UAAUUCGAUUUUUAGCUAUGAUUGUCCAAACGCAAUUCUUGUUGAUUUCAAAUACUCAAGGGUUGCAUCUGGGCAUCGCGGCUCGAAAUAAGAAUAC
Molecule: microRNA precursor, 97 nt
Filed under: Drosophila willistoni
Lineage: Eukaryota; Metazoa; Arthropoda; Insecta; Diptera; Drosophilidae
Description: microRNA dwi-mir-219 precursor
Gene: dwi-mir-219
Rfam family: mir-219 microRNA precursor family (bases 11-86)
About the family: The hairpin precursors (represented here) are predicted based on base pairing and cross-species conservation -- their extents are not known.
Source: miRBase by way of RNAcentral